RNAcentral lists this transfer RNA (74 nucleotides) under Bacteroidaceae bacterium. RNAcentral's name for it is "tRNA-Gly". It matches the Rfam family "tRNA". Rfam says of the family: Transfer RNA (tRNA) molecules are approximately 80 nucleotides in length. Lineage: Bacteria; Pseudomonadati; Bacteroidota; Bacteroidia; Bacteroidales; Bacteroidaceae. The record is from RNAcentral.
GCGGCAGUAGCUCAGUUGGUAGAGCAUUGGCUUCCCAAGCCAAGGGUCGCGGGUUCGAGUCCCGUUUGCCGCUC